RNAcentral lists this ribosomal RNA (626 nucleotides) under Myxarium nucleatum. RNAcentral's name for it is "eukaryotic LSU rRNA". It matches the Rfam family "Eukaryotic large subunit ribosomal RNA", at positions 1 to 634 of the family's 3401-position model. The record is from RNAcentral. Lineage: Eukaryota; Fungi; Basidiomycota; Agaricomycetes; Auriculariales; Hyaloriaceae.
CGUUUGACCUCAAAUCAGAUGGGACUACCCGCUGAACUUAAGCAUAUCAAUAAGCGGAGGAAAAGAAACUAACAAGGAUUCCCCUAGUAACGGCGAGUGAAGAGGGAAAAGCUCAAAUUUAAAAUCUGGCGGUCUACGGCCGUCCGAGUUGUAAUUUAGAGAGAUGUUUUCCGCGUCGGACCACACACAAGUCCUUUGGGAUAAGGCUUCAUAGAGGGUGAGAAUCCCGUACAUGGUGUGGACUACCGGGGCUAUGUGAUGCAUCCUCGAAGAGUCGAGUUGUUUGGGAAUGCAGCUCAAAAUGGGUGGUAAAUUCCAUCUAAAGCUAAAUAUUGGGGAGAGACCGAUAGCGCACAAGUACCGUGAGGGAAAGAUGAAAAGCACUUUGGAAAGAGAGUUAAACAGUACGUGAAAUUGCUGAAAGGGAAACGCUUGGAGUCAGUCGCGUCUUCUUGGACUCAGCCGUGGUUCUCCGCGGUGUACUUCUGAGGAGAUGGGCCAACAUCGAUUUUGUUCGCCGUACAAAGGCGAGAGGAAGGUGGCAUCUCUCGGGAUGUGUUAUAGCCUCUCGUUGUAUGCGGUGGGUGGGAUCGAGGAACGCAGCGCGCCCGCAAGGGUUGGGAUUC